Molecule: ribosomal RNA, 254 nt
Filed under: uncultured bacterium
Lineage: Bacteria
Description: partial 16S ribosomal RNA
Rfam family: Bacterial small subunit ribosomal RNA
Source: RNAcentral
UACGUAGGGUGCGAGCGUUGUCCGGAUUCAUUGGGCGUAAAGAGCUCGUAGGCGGCUUGAUAAGUCGGAUGUGAAACCUCCAGGCUCAACCUGGAGUCGCCAUCCGAUACUGUCAUGGCUAGAGUCCGGUAGGGGCCCACGGAAUUCCUGGUGUAGCGGUGAAAUGCGCAGAUAUCAGGAGGAACACCGGUGGCGAAGGCGGGUCUCUGGGCCGUAACUGACGCUGAGGAGCGAAAGCGUGGGGAGCGAACAGG